CCCCUAGAUGUUCUGGGCCGCACGCGCGCUACACUGAACAGUUCAACAAGUCUUAACCUUGGCCGAUAGGUCUGGGUAAUCUUUGAACGCUGUUCGUGAUUGGGAUAGACCUUUGCAAUUAUGGGUCUUCAACGAGGAAUUCCUAGUAAACGCAAGUCAUCAGCUUGCAUUGAUUACGUCCCUGCCCUUUGUACACACCGCCCGUCACACCUACCGAUUGAAUGGUCCGGUGAAAUCUCGGGACGGCGGCUCGGUCGCUUGCGUCCGACUGCUGAAACUUGAUUAAACCAUAUCAUUUAGAGGAAGGUGAAGUCGUAACA
This 320-nucleotide ribosomal RNA is filed under the name uncultured eukaryote. Its description in RNAcentral is "partial 18S ribosomal RNA". It matches the Rfam family "Eukaryotic small subunit ribosomal RNA", at positions 1470 to 1796 of the family's 1831-position model. The record is from RNAcentral.